This 497-nucleotide ribosomal RNA is filed under the name uncultured bacterium. RNAcentral describes it as "partial 16S ribosomal RNA". It matches the Rfam family "Bacterial small subunit ribosomal RNA", at positions 28 to 507 of the family's 1533-position model. The record is from RNAcentral.
GAUGAACGCUGGCGGCGUGCCUAAUACAUGCAAGUCGAGCGAACAGACGAGGAGCUUGCUCCUCUGACGUUAGCGGCGGACGGGUGAGUAACACGUGGAUAACCUACCUAUAAGACUGGGAUAACUUCGGGAAACCGGAGCUAAUACCGGAUAAUAUAUUGAACCGCAUGGUUCAAUAGUGAAAGACGGUUUUGCUGUCACUUAUAGAUGGAUCCGCGCCGCAUUAGCUAGUUGGUAAGGUAACGGCUUACCAAGGCAACGAUGCGUAGCCGACCUGAGAGGGUGAUCGGCCACACUGGAACUGAGACACGGUCCAGACUCCUACGGGAGGCAGCAGUAGGGAAUCUUCCGCAAUGGGCGAAAGCCUGACGGAGCAACGCCGCGUGAGUGAUGAAGGUCUUCGGAUCGUAAAACUCUGUUAUUAGGGAAGAACAAAUGUGUAAGUAAUUAUGCACGUCUUGACGGUACCUAAUCAGAAAGCCACGUCUAACUACGUG